This 200-nucleotide unclassified non-coding RNA is filed under the name Onygenales sp. Its description in RNAcentral is "partial internal transcribed spacer 2". RNAcentral also lists the same sequence under 1 other name. Lineage: Eukaryota; Fungi; Ascomycota; Eurotiomycetes; Onygenales. The record is from RNAcentral.
UUAAGUUCAGCGGGUAUCCCUACCUGAUCCGAGGUCAACCGGUAAAAUAUGGUUUCGACCAGCGCCGCCGGGCCUGUUGAGCUUAUAAGGAUUCCCAUACGCUCGGGCACCGAAACGGACGCCGCCACUGCCUUUCGGGCACGUCCACGGGGGACGAGGCCCAACACACAAGCCGCGCUUGAAGGUUGCAAUGACGCUCG